AACGAACGCUGGCGGCAUGCCUAACACAUGCAAGUCGAACGAGACCUUCGGGUCUAGUGGCGCACGGGUGCGUAACGCGUGGGAACCUGCCCUUAGGUUCGGAAUAACUCCCCGAAAGGGGUGCUAAUACCGGAUAAUGUCUUCGGACCAAAGAUUUAUCGCCUUUGGAUGGGCCCGCGUUGGAUUAGCCAGUUGGUAGGGUAAAAGCCUACCAAGGCGACGAUCCAUAGCUGGUCUGAGAGGAUGAUCAGCCACACUGGGACUGAGACACGGCCCAGACUCCUACGGGAGGCAGCAGUGGGGAAUAUUGGACAAGGAGCGAAAGCCUGAUCCAGCAAUGCUGCGUGAGUGAUGAAGGCCUUAGGGUUGUAAAGCUCUUUUACCCGGGAUGAGAAUGACAGUACCGGGAGAAUAAGCUCCGGCUAACUCCGUG
This 433-nucleotide ribosomal RNA is filed under the name uncultured bacterium. RNAcentral describes it as "partial 16S ribosomal RNA". It matches the Rfam family "Bacterial small subunit ribosomal RNA", at positions 29 to 507 of the family's 1533-position model. The record is from RNAcentral.